RNAcentral lists this ribosomal RNA (531 nucleotides) under Salmonella enterica subsp. enterica serovar Infantis. RNAcentral's name for it is "bacterial SSU rRNA". It matches the Rfam family "Bacterial small subunit ribosomal RNA", at positions 984 to 1515 of the family's 1533-position model. The record is from RNAcentral. RNAcentral also lists the same sequence under 1 other name. Lineage: Bacteria; Pseudomonadati; Pseudomonadota; Gammaproteobacteria; Enterobacterales; Enterobacteriaceae.
ACAUCCACAGAAGAAUCCAGAGAUGGAUUUGUGCCUUCGGGAACUGUGAGACAGGUGCUGCAUGGCUGUCGUCAGCUCGUGUUGUGAAAUGUUGGGUUAAGUCCCGCAACGAGCGCAACCCUUAUCCUUUGUUGCCAGCGGUCCGGCCGGGAACUCAAAGGAGACUGCCAGUGAUAAACUGGAGGAAGGUGGGGAUGACGUCAAGUCAUCAUGGCCCUUACGACCAGGGCUACACACGUGCUACAAUGGCGCAUACAAAGAGAAGCGACCUCGCGAGAGCAAGCGGACCUCAUAAAGUGCGUCGUAGUCCGGAUUGGAGUCUGCAACUCGACUCCAUGAAGUCGGAAUCGCUAGUAAUCGUGGAUCAGAAUGCCACGGUGAAUACGUUCCCGGGCCUUGUACACACCGCCCGUCACACCAUGGGAGUGGGUUGCAAAAGAAGUAGGUAGCUUAACCUUCGGGAGGGCGCUUACCACUUUGUGAUUCAUGACUGGGGUGAAGUCGUAACAAGGUAACCGUAGGGGAACCUGC